ACACGCAUGACACACUGCAUAUCAAUAAGCGGAGGAAAAGAAACUAACAAGGAUUCCCCUAGUAACGGCGAGUGAAGCGGGAAGAGCUCAAAUUUGAAAUCUUAAAGGGUUUCCCUUUACGAAUUGUAGUUUAAAGAAGUGUUUUCUGUUGGAGUUUCGGUAAAAGUUCUUUGGAAUAGGACAUCAUAGAGGGUGAGAAUCCCGUAUUUGACCAUUAUUUUCAGCUGUGUGAUACACUUUCAAAGAGUCGGAUUGUUUGGGAAUGCAGUCCAAAAUGGGUGGUAAAUUUCAUCUAAAGCUAAAUAUUGGCGAGAGACCGAUAGCGAACAAGUACCGUGAGGGAAAGAUGAAAAGAACUUUGAAAAGAGAGUUAAACAGUACGUGAAAUUGUCAAAAGGGAAGCGUUUGACACCAGUGUUGUUUAGUUGAAAAUCAAUUCAAUAAUUUUUGAUUUUAGAGUAGUAUUGACUUCAUCAGCUUGCUGCUUUCUUUUCGGAAAUUAUUGAAUGCACUUUUCAGUUAACAAGUCAACAUCAAUUUCUUUUGUUGUAAAAGGGCAAGAGGAAGGUGGCUUACGCUUCGGCGUAAGUGUUUAUAGCCUUUUAUCUCUGCAGUCGGGGAGAUUGAGGUCUGCAGCGUAGAUCCUUCGGGGCUAGAUACAUUUAUGCUAAGUUAUAGCUUUUCAUAGACAACUUGUUGACUAUGUUUAGUCAUGUAGCUUACUCGUAAGUGCUAUUUUACCUACGCUUAGGAUGUUGAGCGCAUGUCUCUCUCU
This 775-nucleotide ribosomal RNA is filed under the name uncultured Neocallimastigales. RNAcentral's name for it is "partial large subunit ribosomal RNA". It matches the Rfam family "Eukaryotic large subunit ribosomal RNA", at positions 23 to 616 of the family's 3401-position model. The record is from RNAcentral. Lineage: Eukaryota; Fungi; Neocallimastigomycota; Neocallimastigomycetes; Neocallimastigales.